CGCAACGAGCGCAACCCUUGAUCUUAGUUGCCAGCAUUCAGUUGGGCACUCUAAGGGGACUGCCGGUGACAAACCGGAGGAAGGUGGGGAUGACGUCAAAUCAUCAUGCCCCUUAUGACCUGGGCUACACACGUGCUACAAUGGACAGAACAAAGGGCAGCGAAACCGCGAGGUUAAGCCAAUCCCACAAAUCUGUUCUCAGUUCGGAUUGCAGUCUGCAACUCGCCUGCCUGAAGCUGGAAUCGCUAGUAAUCGCGGAUCACCAUGCCGCGGUGAAUACGUUCCCGGGCCUUGUACACACCCCCCGAA
This 309-nucleotide ribosomal RNA is filed under the name uncultured Bacillus sp. Its description in RNAcentral is "bacterial SSU rRNA". It matches the Rfam family "Bacterial small subunit ribosomal RNA", at positions 1088 to 1398 of the family's 1533-position model. Lineage: Bacteria; Bacillati; Bacillota; Bacilli; Caryophanales; Bacillaceae. The record is from RNAcentral.